AAGGAUCAUUMCAGUGUUCCCUGCCCUUCGGGGUAGGAUCGCCACCCUUGAUUAUUUAUGAGUGUUGCUUUGGCGGGCCUCGUGGCCUAGUCGCGCCCCGGCUUCGGCGGGGGAGCGCCCGCCAGAGGAUUCUAUAAACCUGAUUAUUAGUGUCGUCUGAGUACUAUAUAAUAGUUAAAACUUUCAACAACGGAUCUCUUGGUUCUGGCAUCGAUGAAGAACGCAGCGAAAUGCGAUAAGUAAUGUGAAUUGCAGAAUUCAGUGAAUCAUCGAAUCUUUGAACGCACAUUGCGCCCCGUGGUAUUCCGCGGGGCAUGCCUGUUCGAGCGUCAUUAUAACCAAUCCAGCUCGCUGGGUCUUGGGUACCGCCGCCUGGCGGGCCUUAAAAUCAGUGGCGGUACGGCCGGGCUCUGAGCGUAGUAAAUCUUUCUCGCUACAGGGUCCCGGGCGGCACUGGCCAGCAACCCCCCAUCUUUUAUAGGUUGACCUCGGAUCAGGGAGGGAUACCCGCUGAACUUAA
RNAcentral lists this ribosomal RNA (520 nucleotides) under Hymenoscyphus jinggangensis. RNAcentral's name for it is "eukaryotic LSU rRNA". The record is from RNAcentral. Lineage: Eukaryota; Fungi; Ascomycota; Leotiomycetes; Helotiales; Helotiaceae.